CCUACGGGAUGCAGCAGUGGGGAAUAUUGGGCAAUGGGCGCAAGCCUGACCCAGCAACGCCGCGUGAAGGAAGAAGGCUUUCGGGUUGUAAACUUCUUUUGUCAGGGACGAAGCAAGUGACGGUACCUGACGAAUAAGCCACGGCUAACUACGUGCCAGCAGCCGCGGUAAUAAGUAGGUGGCAAGCGUUAUCCGGAUUUACUGGGUGUAAAGGGCGUGUAGGCGGGACUGCAAGUCAGAUGUGAAAACCACGGGCUCAACCCGUGGCCUGCAUUUGAAACGGUAGUUCUUGAGUACUGGAGAGGCAGACGGAAUUACUAGUGUAGCGGUGAAAUGCGGAGAGAUUAGGAGGAACACCAGUGGCGAAGGCGGUCUGCUGGACAGCAACUGACGCUGAGGCGCGAAAGCGUGGGGAGCAAACAGGAUUAGAUACCCGUGUAGUC
RNAcentral lists this ribosomal RNA (443 nucleotides) under uncultured bacterium. RNAcentral's name for it is "partial 16S ribosomal RNA". It matches the Rfam family "Bacterial small subunit ribosomal RNA", at positions 338 to 795 of the family's 1533-position model. The record is from RNAcentral.